GCAGUCGAACGCGUUGGCCCAAUUGAUUGAUGGUGCUUGCACCUGAUUGAUUUUGGUCGCCAACGAGUGGCGGACGGGUGAGUAACACGUAGGUAACCUGCCCAGAAGCGGGGGACAACAUUUGGAAACAGAUGCUAAUACCGCAUAACAGCGUUGUUCGCAUGAACAACGCUUAAAAGAUGGCUUCUCGCUAUCACUUCUGGAUGGACCUGCGGUGCAUUAGCUUGUUGGUGGGGUAACGGCCUACCAAGGCGAUGAUGCAUAGCCGAGUUGAGAGACUGAUCGGCCACAAUGGGACUGAGACACGGCCCAUACUCCUACGGGAGGCAGCAGUAGGGAAUCUUCCACAAUGGGCGCAAGCCUGAUGGAGCAACACCGCGUGAGUGAAGAAGGGUUUCGGCUCGUAAAGCUCUGUUGUUAAAGAAGAACACGUAUGAGAGUAACUGUUCAUACGUUGACGGUAUUUAACCAGAAAGUCACGGCUAACUACGUGCCAGCAGCCGCGGUAAUACGUAGGUGGCAAGCGUUAUCCGGAUUUAUUGGGCGUAAAGAGAGUGCAGGCGGUUUUCUAAGUCUGAUGUGAAAGCCUUCGGCUUAACCGGAGAAGUGCAUCGGAAACUGGAUAACUUGAGUGCAGAAGAGGGUAGUGGAACUCCAUGUGUAGCGGUGGAAUGCGUAGAUAUAUGGAAGAACACCAGUGGCGAAGGCGGCUACCUGGUCUGCAACUGACGCUGAGACUCGAAAGCAUGGGUAGCGAACAGGAUUAGAUACCCUGGUAGUCCAUGCCGUAAACGAUGAGUGCUAGGUGUUGGAGGGUUUCCGCCCUUCAGUGCCGGAGCUAACGCAUUAAGCACUCCGCCUGGGGAGUACGACCGCAAGGUUGAAACUCAAAGGAAUUGACGGGGGCCCGCACAAGCGGUGGAGCAUGUGGUUUAAUUCGAAGCUACGCGAAGAACCUUACCAGGUCUUGACAUCUUGCGCCAACCCUAGAGAUAGGGCGUUUCCUUCGGGAACGCAAUGACAGGUGGUGCAUGGUCGUCGUCAGCUCGUGUCGUGAGAUGUUGGGUUAAGUCCCGCAACGAGCGCAACCCUUGUUACUAGUUGCCAGCAUUAAGUUGGGCACUCUAGUGAGACUGCCGGUGACAAACCGGAGGAAGGUGGGGACGACGUCAGAUCAUCAUGCCCCUUAUGACCUGGGCUACACACGUGCUACAAUGGACGGUACAACGAGUCGCGAACUCGCGAGGGCAAGCAAAUCUCUUAAAACCGUUCUCAGUUCGGACUGCAGGCUGCAACUCGCCUGCACGAAGUCGGAAUCGCUAGUAAUCGCGGAUCAGCAUGCCGCGGUGAAUACGUUCCCGGGCCUUGUACACACCGCCCGUCACACCAUGAGAGUUUGUAACACCCAAAGUCGGUGGGGUAACCUUUAGGAGCCAGCCGCUAAG
This 1445-nucleotide ribosomal RNA is filed under the name Limosilactobacillus fermentum. RNAcentral's name for it is "bacterial SSU rRNA". It matches the Rfam family "Bacterial small subunit ribosomal RNA". Lineage: Bacteria; Bacillati; Bacillota; Bacilli; Lactobacillales; Lactobacillaceae. The record is from RNAcentral.